UGCUGCGCCCCGCCCCGCCCCACGCCUGCAUGGAGUUUCUCUCUCCCUGUUGUGUUUAUUUUUCUGUCCAGAUGCCGAAGGCCCUUCGCUUUCGUUUCCCGUGAGCACGCCGUCUCAGACCCAGACCCAGGCAGGCCCAAAUGGACCCCAGUCAUCCAUCUGCGCCGCGAGCAAGUGGAGUUGGUNCGUGCGCCCCGCCCUCCCUGGAGCAUCCCCGCGGCCGCCUUUGAACGGGAUUCCAGGGCACACGGCAAAGCCAGGCGCGGGGCCUGCCUUUCUCACCCUGGACAGCCUGGGAAACACUGGACNGGAAGAACCAACGGACAAGGGGAAAGGAGACAAUUUAUUGCCACUUUGGGACCAUAUUUUCUUGUCUCUGGUUGUAAGCAGGUUUGCUGGAGAAGUAAAUUAGCAGUUAAUUAGCAGGGACAUGAUUGAUCGAGGCACUGGGAGCAGUGGGGGAUUCCAAAUGAAAAGUUGCUCCCCUCCUGGCAGAGACCCUCCGCUCCGCGCAACAUCGCAGCUCCCUGGCAAAGGAGCUGCAGCUUUUCCAAAUAAGAUGAGACUAUUUAUCCCUCCCUUUACCCAGAGGGCUCAGGGCGGGUUACAGUAAAAGCAGGGUAAAAACACAUGUAAAAUGAAUUGGCAAUGUCUGAAAGGGGAGGAGAAGCUAUAACUUCAGCCAAGGGCCAAGGGCAAAGAGGUGCAUUUCCAUCAUGCAUGUAAUUAUAUACACUGUGCCUCAGAAGGGAGGCCAUGCCACAGCCUGGGGCUACCACAAAGAAGGUCCUGUCGCUUGCCCUUGCACCCUUAACUCUGGGAGGAGGCACUCCUUUAGGUAUUUGGGGGCCAAGUUGUUUAGGGCUUUAUAUGCCAGUGUUAGCACCUUGCAUUUGGCUUGGUAGCAAAGUGACGACCACUGCAGUUCCUUNAGGAUCAGCAUGAUAUGCUUCCAGCCUGGAGUACCUGUUCCAAACUGUCUUCAAGGGCAGCCCAGCAUAGAGUGCAUUGCAGUAGUUCUGGCUGAGGUUACCAGGGCAUGGAUCAUUGCCGCCAANCCAUCUCCAUCCAGAAAGGGUCACAGUUGGCCAAAGAGCCUGAGUUGGAGGUAGGCGCCACUGCCCCCAAGUGUCCAGUGAUAGUGAUGGGUCCAGGAGCAUCCUCAAUCUACACGCCUGUUCCUUUGAACUCAGACUCCACUGUGCUGUAGGAUGGAUUAAACAGAUGUGGUGCAAACAAGCCCAUAAGAACAUAAGAAGAAGGGCCUCGGCUCAUCUAGUCCAGCAUCCUGUCCCACACAAAACCUUCACCUGCUCUUAACUCCCAGCAAAUGGCCUUUAGGGGCAUCCCGCCUGUCUCUCCACCCUGGAGGCAGUACCUGGGCAUCCAUUCUAGUAGCCAAUGAUACACCUAGCCUCCAUGA
Molecule: long non-coding RNA, 1423 nt
Filed under: Salvator merianae (Argentine black and white tegu)
Lineage: Eukaryota; Metazoa; Chordata; Lepidosauria; Squamata; Teiidae
Description: lncRNA (ENSSMRG00000010352.1)
Source: RNAcentral